GUGGCCGUACGCUGGCGGCGUGCUAAUACAUGCAAGUCGAGCGAAUGACGAGAAGCUUGCUUCUCUGAUUUAGCGGCGGACGGGUGAGUAACACGUGGGCAACCUGCCCUACAGAUCGGGAUAACUCAGGGAAACCUGGGCUAAUACCGGAUAAUCCUUCGAAUCACAUGUUUUGAAGUUGAAAGGCGCUUCGGCGUCACUGUAGGAUGGGCCCGCGGUGCAUUAGCUAGUUGGUGGGGUAACGGCCUACCAAGGCAACGAUGCAUAGCCGACCUGAGAGGGUGAUCGGCCACAUUGGGACUGAGACACGGCCCAAACUCCUACGGGAGGCAGCAGUAGGGAAUCUUCCACAAUGGACGAAAGUCUGAUGGAGCAACGCCGCGUGAGUGAUGAAGGUUUUCGGAUCGUAAAACUCUGUUGUAAGGGAAGAACAAGUACGUUAGGAAAUGAACGUACCUUGACGGUACCUUAUUAGAAAGCCACGGCUAACUACGUGCCAGCAGCCGCGGUAAUACGUAGGUGGCAAGCGUUGUCCGGAUUUAUUGGGCGUAAAGCGCGCGCAGGUGGUUUCUUAAGUCUGAUGUGAAAGCCCACGGCUCAACCGUGGAGGGUCAUUGGAAACUGGGGAACUUGAGUGCAGAAGAGGAUAGUGGAAUUCCAAGUGUAGCGGUGAAAUGCGUAGAGAUUUGGAGGAACACCAGUGGCGAAGGCGACUGUCUGGUCUGUAACUGACACUGAGGCGCGAAAGCGUGGGGAGCAAACAGGAUUAGAUACCCUGGUAGUCCACGCCGUAAACGAUGAGUGCUAAGUGUUAGGGGGGUUUCCGCCCCUUAGUGCUGCAGCUAACGCAUUAAGCACUCCGCCUGGGGAGUACGACCGCAAGGUUGAAACUCAAAGGAAUUGACGGGGGCCCGCACAAGCGGUGGAGCAUGUGGUUUAAUUCGAAGCAACGCGAAGAACCCUUACCAGGUCUUGACAUCCCAAUGACCGUUCCUAGAGAUAGGAUUUUUCCCUUCGGGGACAUUGGAUGACAGGUUGUGCAUGGAUUGUCGUCAGCUCGUGUCGUGGAGAUGUUUGGGCUAGUUCCCCGCAACGAGCGACAAAA
This 1105-nucleotide ribosomal RNA is filed under the name Kurthia sp. SCAU24. Its description in RNAcentral is "bacterial SSU rRNA". It matches the Rfam family "Bacterial small subunit ribosomal RNA", at positions 25 to 1104 of the family's 1533-position model. Lineage: Bacteria; Bacillati; Bacillota; Bacilli; Caryophanales; Caryophanaceae. The record is from RNAcentral.